Ornithorhynchus anatinus (platypus) is the source of this 138-nucleotide small nucleolar RNA. The record is from RefSeq and is a predicted model, not a curated record. NCBI's taxonomy places the organism in Eukaryota, Metazoa, Chordata, Mammalia, Monotremata, Ornithorhynchidae.
CACCUCCCUGGAUUGCACCUGGAGUGUUUCUGGUAAUCUACCAGCCUCGGCUAUAGGAGGGAGAGUCAAGCAGAGGCACACCCAUUCCAUUCCCAGCUUGGACAGUGGCUAGCACGUGGAAGACAAUCUGCUACAAGU